CGGGAAGUGGCGCAGUCCGGUAGCGCACCAGCAUGGGGUGCUGGGGGCCGCAGGUUCAAAUCCUGUCUUCCCGA
RNAcentral lists this transfer RNA (74 nucleotides) under Rhodothermia bacterium. Its description in RNAcentral is "tRNA-Pro". It matches the Rfam family "tRNA". From Rfam's summary of the family: Transfer RNA (tRNA) molecules are approximately 80 nucleotides in length. Their secondary structure includes four short double-helical elements and three loops (D, anti-codon, and T loops). Lineage: Bacteria; Pseudomonadati; Rhodothermota; Rhodothermia. The record is from RNAcentral.